Molecule: long non-coding RNA, 1165 nt
Organism: Phacochoerus africanus (Common warthog)
Lineage: Eukaryota; Metazoa; Chordata; Mammalia; Artiodactyla; Suidae
Exons: 3
Source: RefSeq, a predicted model, not a curated record
UUGGAGCUGGCUAGCAGGGACCAUCUGAGUCCGAAGGUUCUGGAACCCACCUGCCUGCCCUCCAGAGCAGCCCAAAGCUGAACUGCUUCCUGCUGCUCUGCAGAGCAGGGGUUUGCCUUCAUCUCCGUAGGUACAGACGAUGCUGGCAGCUCCCCUUCUCCUCUCAUCCCCCUGGACAUCCUCUGUGGUCACCUGCAGGUCUCCUCCAGCCAGCCGGCUGGCUCGCAGUAAGAACCGCCAGGGCACUUGCGAAUGUCCAGGCAGCGGCCUCGCCUUGCCAGGGGACUUCAGACGCCAGCCUCCAGCACCAGGAGGGAUAAAUGCCUCUUGUUGAAGCCGCCCCGUCUGGGGUAUCUGCUUUUGGCAGCUGAGCGGACUCAUACUGGUCUAGACUCACAGUCUGUAACCUCUGGGAGGAGGUCCAGGAAUGGAACCAUCCGAGAUGGAUUCUCUGAUAUUUUCUGGGAGGAAUCAAGGGACUCCAAUGCUGGAAGCAAGGCCCCUGGAGGACCUCAGGGUGGUGCUGACAGCCCUUUGUUACUCAGGGACUCACCGGUGUCCGCCCAAGCAGUUCCCCCUUUCCGUCGGCCUCAGGGAACUGCUCAGGAGAUCUUCUCAUGAGAGGAAUCCCGGCUGCUCCGCAGACAGCUGCCAGCGUUCAGACCCUGAGGCUGCCUCCGGCUCCACAAGUGGGGAUGUGCCCAGGCAGGUCUCAGGACGGAGCCUCGAGCAGCAGGAGAGGCCGUGUGGAUGGAGCCCCUGGGGACGGAGAGGAGGAGGAAGGUGAGUGUCCAUGUGAGCAGCUCCCGUCUCUCUCCAUACUUCAUACCAUCCCACGCAGGAGUCCUCAUAGCAUCCAUUUCACACAAACGGUGUUGGAGAUCCUGUGGUGAUGAUGUCUGAUGUUCAUGCUCCCCCUUGGAGGUGGACUGGGUGGAGCAGAGGUGUCAUCUGAUUCACCGUACAGGACAGCGUCCAGCCUUCAUGCCGGGACGUCCUCCAGGGACGCUGUCUGGAGUCACAGGCUUCAGGAAGGUAGGUGCUUCGUCUGUAACGUCUUUAGCCUGAAAGGAAGCAGCCUUUAAGGAAAUCUGGAAUCUAAACAUGAGCCUUUGCACAGAAGAGAAAGAAACUUGUGGACUUGGAGAACAGACUUGUGGUUGCA